GACGAACGCUGGCGGCGUGCCUAAUACAUGCAAGUUGAACGCUUGCGACUGGUACUUGUACUAGACGCAAGAGUAGCGAACGGGUGAGUAACGCGUGGGUAACCUACCUCUUAGCGGGGGACAACUAUUGGAAACGAUAGCUAAUACCGCAUAAUAAUUUUUAACACAUGUUAGGAAUUUGAAAGUACCAACUGGUACACUAAGAGAUGGACCCGCGUUGUAUUAGCUAGUUGGUAGUGUAAUGGACUACCAAGGCGAUGAUACAUAGCCGACCUGAGAGGGUGAUCGGCCACAUUGGGACUGAGACACGGCCCAAACUCCUACGGGAGGCAGCAGUAGGGAAUCUUCGGCAAUGGACGAAAGUCUGACCGAGCAACGCCGCGUGAGUGAAGAAGGUUUUCGGAUCGUAAAACUCUGUUGUUAGAGAAGAACGUCAGUGAGAGUGGAAAGUUCACUGAGUGACGGUAUCUAACCAGAAAGGGACGGCUAACUACGUGCCAGCCGCCGCCGUAACAC
This 516-nucleotide ribosomal RNA is filed under the name uncultured bacterium. RNAcentral's name for it is "bacterial SSU rRNA". It matches the Rfam family "Bacterial small subunit ribosomal RNA", at positions 28 to 526 of the family's 1533-position model. The record is from RNAcentral.